Molecule: ribosomal RNA, 713 nt
Filed under: uncultured Arcobacter sp.
Lineage: Bacteria; Pseudomonadati; Campylobacterota; Epsilonproteobacteria; Campylobacterales; Arcobacteraceae
Description: bacterial SSU rRNA
Rfam family: Bacterial small subunit ribosomal RNA
Source: RNAcentral
UGCGAGUCGUACGAGAACGGGCCUUAGCUUGCUAAGAUUGUCAGCUAAGUGGCGCACGGGUGAGUAAUAUAUAGUUAACCUGCCCUAGAGAGAGGGAUAACGUUUGGAAACGGACGCUAACACCUCAUAUGCCUUUAAGUCAAAAGACUGCAAGGGAAACAUUUAUGGCUCUAGGAUGGGACUGUACGGUAUCAGUUAGUUGGUGAGGUAAUGGCUCACCAAGACAAUGACACCUAACUGGUUUGAGAGGAUGAUCAGUCACACUGGAACUGAGACACGGUCCAGACUCCUACGGGAGGCAGCAGUGGGGAAUAUUGCACAAUGGACGAAAGUCUGAUGCAGCAACGCCGCGUGGAGGAUGACACAUUUCGGUGCGUAAACUCCUUUUAUAUAGGAAGAUAAUGACGGUACUAUAUGAAUAAGCACCGGCUAACUCCGUGCCAGCAGCCGCGGUAAUACGGAGGGUGCAAGCGUUACUCGGAAUCACUGGGCGUAAAGAGAAUGUAGGCGGGUAAUUAAGUCAGAAGUGAAAUCCAAUAGCUCAACUAUUGAACUGCUUUUGAAACUGAUAACCUAGAAUAUGGGAGAGGUAGAUGGAAUUUCUGGUGUAGGGGUAAAAUCCGUAGAGAUCAGAAGGAAUACCGAUUGCGAAGGCGAUCUACUGGAACAUUAUUGACGCUGAGAUUCGAAAGCGUGGGGAGCAAACAGGAUUA